CAUGGAUGAAGACAUGAAUCCUUAUCAUCCAAGAAACGCUUCUCACUCAUAUCACUCAUUCACUUUUAAUACCUGUGGUGAGGUAAACAAGAAUGGAUUCUGUUWCAACGUCAGUGUUCAUAACAUUUCGCAAGGUUCUAUACUUGACAAUUCAUGUUGCUUCUGCAMCUCAUAUACUUCAAGAUGUUGGCGCCAUUCCGUGUCACAGUUGGAAUAGACUGCAUAGUAAUUACACCAAAAACGAAAAUGUGYGAGGUGUCAGAUAACGGHGAUGGUGGACCUGCUUUUACUGUUAGAAGGUGCAGUUGCUCGACAUGCCCUACUCCAUGUGGUUCAAGUGYUCUGUGUAGGGCAGACCAGGAACCCUCUGAUUACUUGAAAUAUAAACAUCAUGUUUUCAUUGAUUCUACACUGAUUUGGAUCAUGAUGAGUGUAACAAUGUUCUGAAGAUGCUUCCCGAUAUCUUUCCUCCUACUCAAAUGGAUCUUGGCAACAGUUCUKAUGAAUGUCCUGCUAUGGGGACUUAAAGCGUGCUUCACCACWAAGCAAUAGAUAAUGGUUUCUGGAGAUCUUAUUGGCCAUCGAGCUUUUAGUUCAAGAUUAUUCACCAUCUUCAAAAAAGAGUGGCUCUUUAGUGCUUCUGUAAGCAUGCUAAAGAUUCAAACUUUUUGUCCUCUAUGCAGUUUACUGUCCGAGUGGCAGAUGUCAGGUUGCGUCUUCGGGMACAUUUGGUUCACAWCACCAUGUCAAGGGUCCAUCUUUCAUUCAAGGUUACAAGGACUCUCAUGAAWUUUCRGAAUCAUUGAWGAAAUAUUUUGAGAKGUUUCGACUAGACAUUGGGUUUGUGCAAKAAAUUAUAGAACAACUCUUGCAUGUGUAGAGCCUGUUCAGGAUGUAUUAUAUGCAAAGACCUCCUAACUGAUUCAUCCUUAACAACUGUAAAUAAAAAGAUCAAGAUUAAGGAAGAUGCCAUAYGGAGCAAAAGGGAGAGCAUARUAGUUACACAAUCAAUGAGGGUAAGGUACAUAUUGUACUUACUAGUUGUAGAAAAUGUUUAAUUGUUCUAAUAGAUUGUUUUAUAUGUUGGACAUGUUUAUAGUUCUAACCAUCGUGUGCUCUUUGUAAAUAUUUUGCGAUAAGUUUAUACCAAGUUUUUGGAUGUCUUCGCAA
Molecule: long non-coding RNA, 1170 nt
Organism: Cynara cardunculus var. scolymus (artichoke)
Lineage: Eukaryota; Viridiplantae; Streptophyta; Magnoliopsida; Asterales; Asteraceae
Exons: 3
Source: RefSeq, a predicted model, not a curated record